AGAGUUUGAUCCUGGCUCAGGAUGAACGCUGGCGGCGUGCCUAACACAUGCAAGUCGAGCGAGAAGUUUAUGGAGUGCGUUUUCGGACAAGUGAAGUAAACGGAAAGCGGCGGACGGGUGAGUAACGCGUAGGCAACCUGCCCCAUACAGAGGGAUAGCCUCGAGAAAUCGGGAUUAAAACCUCAUAAUGCCAUUGAGUCACAUGGCUCUUUGGCCAAAGAUUUAUCGGUAUGGGAUGGGCCUGCGUCUGAUUAGCUAGUUGGUGAGGUAACGGCUCACCAAGGCUGCGAUCAGUAGCAGAACUGAGAGGUUCAUCUGCCACAUUGGAACUGAGACACGGUCCAAACUCCUACGGGAGGCAGCAGUGAGGAAUAUUGCACAACGGGCGAAAGCCUGAUGCAGCAACGCCGCGUGAGCGAUGAAGGCCUUUGGGUCGUAAAGCUCUGUCCUUGGGGAAGAAACAAAUGACGGUACCCUUGGAGGAAGCCCCGGCUAACUACGUGCCAGCAGCCGCGGUAAUACGUAGGGGGCGAGCGUUAUCCGGAAUUAUUGGGCGUAAAGAGUGCGUAGGUGGUCUUGUAAGCGUGGGGUGAAAGGCAGUGGCUUAACCAUUGUUAGCCUUGCGAACUGUGAGACUUGAGUGCAGGAGAGGAAAGUGGAAUUCCUAGUGUAGCGGUGAAAUGCGUAGAUAUUAGGAGAAACACCAGUGGCGAAGGCGACUUUCUGGACUGUAACUGACACUGAGGCACGAAAGCGUGGGGAGCAAACAGGAUUAGAUACCCUGGUAGUCCACGCCGUAAACGAUGAACACUAGGUGUCGGGGUUUAAAGACUUCGGUGCCGCAGUUAACGCAUUAAGUGUUCCGCCUGGGGAGUACGCACGCAAGUGUGAAACUCAAAGGAAUUUGACGGGGAUCCGCACAAGCAGCGGAGCAUGUGGUUUAAUUUCGAAGCAACGCGAAGAACUUUACCAGGGCUUGACAAUCCCUUCUGACGAUCCCUAACCGGUCUUCCCUUUCGGGCAGAAGGAGACAGGUGGUGCAUGCUUGUCGUCAGCUUCGUGUCGUGGAGAUGUUUGGAUAGUCCCGCACCGAGUGCACCUGU
RNAcentral lists this ribosomal RNA (1103 nucleotides) under uncultured bacterium. RNAcentral's name for it is "bacterial SSU rRNA". It matches the Rfam family "Bacterial small subunit ribosomal RNA", at positions 8 to 1105 of the family's 1533-position model. The record is from RNAcentral.